CAGAGAUGGCGCUGAAAAUCAUCAUUUUUCUUCUAAAAGGAAAUGUGCACAACACUUCUCAGUUCUCCUGCAUCCAGAAUCUUUCUUUCCACCAUUGGCGUUGCUGCGAGGCCAGAUAAGAUAUAAAUCCAAAAAUUCUAAAUGUUUUGCACAUCUGUCUGAGAACAAUAAAGGAAAAAGAUUUGAUUAAGGAGAAGAAGAGUUUCAAAUAGAAGAAUGCCAGGCUUUAUAUCAUUGGAUAAACUUGUCAAGCAUUGUGUGGUAUUGAUAGAACACAUAUGGACUAUCUAUCAUACAGUUCACAUGAUUCUUUGGCAUUUUCCAACUUGAAGAAGGAAGUCGGAUAUUAAAAACAUUGAUUAAAAAAUGAAAAACAUCUAUAGCAUGUAUUUGGGAAGCUUGUUGGAACAUUGUAACUGCUAUUUACAAUAUUAAGAACAGCAAUAUUUUGAGAAAGAAAAUCUAACUCUUGGUUAAAAUGAUUAAACAAGUUACAAAAGCUAUUGGUGAUUGACAAUCAAGAUAGUAGUAACAUCGCAAGGAUAAUUACAGGAUCAACUGAAUAAUCUUUUGCAAGAAUAAUUUUGUCAAUGUGGAAAAUCAAUGGUUGAUCAAUGAAGAAGUUAUUUAUACUUGAGGAAAGACAAAAAAUUUUGCAUAAAUGACAUGACAAUCAUCAGGAUAAAAAAUUUUAAAAUUUAGUACAAAGAUAAUGCAAGAUAAUAGAGUCAAUUAUGUAAAACAAUUUUAAACAAUCAAUGACAUUAUAUUGUGCAUGAUAUUGUAUAUCAAUACAAAUUUUGAAAAAUUUAAUAAAUUUUUUUAUCUAUAUAUAAGUUUAGUGUUACAAAUUUAA
Molecule: long non-coding RNA, 856 nt
Organism: Cataglyphis hispanica
Lineage: Eukaryota; Metazoa; Arthropoda; Insecta; Hymenoptera; Formicidae
Exons: 3
Source: RefSeq, a predicted model, not a curated record